Molecule: ribosomal RNA, 433 nt
Filed under: uncultured bacterium
Lineage: Bacteria
Description: partial 16S ribosomal RNA
Rfam family: Bacterial small subunit ribosomal RNA
Source: RNAcentral
AACGAACGCUGGCGGCAUGCCUAACACAUGCCAGUCGAACGAGACCUUCGGGUCUAGUGGCGCACGGGUGCGUAACGCGUGGGAACCUGCCCUUAGGUUCGGAAUAACUCCCCGAAAGGGGUGCUAAUACCGGAUAAUGUCUUCGGACCAAAGAUUUAUCGCCUUUGGAUGGGCCCGCGUUGGAUUAGCUAGUUGGUAGGGUAAAAGCCUACCAAGGCGACGAUCCAUAGCUGGUCUGAGAGGAUGAUCAGCCACACUGGGACUGAGACACGGCCCAGACUCCUACGGGAGGCAGCAGUGGGGAAUAUUGGACAAUGGGCGAAAGCCUGAUCCAGCCAUGCCGCGUGAGUGAUGAAGGCCUUAGGGUUGUAAAGCUCUUUUACCCGGGAUGAUAAUGACAGUACCGGGAGAAUAAGCUCCGGCUAACUCCGUG